Non-coding RNA from Cinara cedri, 223 nucleotides. NCBI's taxonomy places the organism in Eukaryota, Metazoa, Arthropoda, Insecta, Hemiptera, Aphididae. The record is from the annotation of a GenBank genome assembly.
GUUUACUUUUAUUAAUAAAUAAUAACAUUAAAAUACGGUAUAUUUCGGUUAGGUUUUAUUUUAGCCUGUGCGUGUCCAAAUAAUUUAAAUAUUAUGCGUUCCGAUAACCUUUGACCCUGCGGCGUACACGUAAAGAAAAUGUAUGUUAUACACUCACGUAUAUACAAUAAUCGUCUCGUAAUAUUGUAGUUUUCGUUUCCAUGACUGCACUCGACAAACUUUA